ACUACUACAAAUCCCCGCCACCACCAUACUACAAGUAUGAAUCGCCUCCUUACAAGUAUGAAUCACCGCCACCGCCACCAUACAAGUAUGAAUCCCCACCACCGCCACCAUACAAGUAUGAGUCGCCACCGCCGCCACCAUACAAGUAUGAGUCACCGCCACCACCACCAUACAAGUACGAAUCACCACCUCCACCUCCAUACAAGUACGAGUCCCCGCCUCCACCUCCAUACAAGUAUGAGUCGCCCCCACCGCCUCCUUACAAGUAUGAAUCUCCACCGCCGCCACCAUACAAGUACAAAUCGCCACCUCCACCUCCAUACAAGUAUGAGUCACCCCCACCACCUCCUUACAAGUAUGAAUCCCCACCUCCGCCACCAUACAAGUAUGAGUCCCCACCUCCGCCACCAUACAAGUAUGAAUCGCCACCUCCCCCUCCAUACAAGUAUGAGUCGCCCCCACCGCCUCCUUACAAGUAUGAAUCCCCACCUCCGCCACCAUACAAGUAUGAAUCGCCACCACCGCCUCCAUAUUACUAUAAAUCUCCACCGCCUCCUUAUUACAAGUAUGAGUCUCCACCACCACCAUACUACAAGUACGAGUCUCCACCUCCACCUUACUAUUACUACAAAUCCCCACCGCCUCCAUACUACAAAUAUGAAUCCCCUCCACCACCUUACUACAAGUAUGUAUCGCCACCUCCACCAGCUUACAAGAAGUAAAAAAGUUUCAUGUUGUGUUCCCUGGAUUCAACAUAAUAAGAUGUGUUGUGAAAGAAAGCAGAACGAUUUUUUCAUAU
This 799-nucleotide long non-coding RNA is filed under the name Selaginella moellendorffii. RNAcentral describes it as "long non-coding RNA (SMOE_LNC001625)". The record is from RNAcentral. Lineage: Eukaryota; Viridiplantae; Streptophyta; Lycopodiopsida; Selaginellales; Selaginellaceae.